CUGAUUGAUUUUGGUCGCCAACGAGUGGCGGACGGGUGAGUAACACGUAGGUAACCUGCCCAGAAGCGGGGGACAACAUUUGGAAACAGAUGCUAAUACCGCAUAACAGCGUUGUUCGCAUGAACAACGCUUAAAAGAUGGCUUCUCGCUAUCACUUCUGGAUGGACCUGCGGUGCAUUAGCUUGUUGGUGGGGUAACGGCCUACCAAGGCGAUGAUGCAUAGCCGAGUUGAGAGACUGAUCGGCCACAAUGGGACUGAGACACGGCCCAUACUCCUACGGGAGGCAGCAGUAGGGAAUCUUCCACAAUGGGCGCAAGCCUGAUGGAGCAACACCGCGUGAGUGAAGAAGGGUUUCGGCUCGUAAAGCUCUGUUGUUAAAGAAGAACACGUAUGAGAGUAACUGUUCAUACGUUGACGGUAUUUAACCAGAAAGUCACGGCUAACUACGUGCCAGCAGCCGCGGUAAUACGUAGGUGGCAAGCGUUAUCCGGAUUUAUUGGGCGUAAAGAGAGUGCAGGCGGUUUUCUAAGUCUGAUGUGAAAGCCUUCGGCUUAACCGGAGAAGUGCAUCGGAAACUGGAUAACUUGAGUGCAGAAGAGGGUAGUGGAACUCCAUGUGUAGCGGUGGAAUGCGUAGAUAUAUGGAAGAACACCAGUGGCGAAGGCGGCUACCUGGUCUGCAACUGACGCUGAGACUCGAAAGCAUGGGUAGCGAACAGGAUUAGAUACCCUGGUAGUCCAUGCCGUAAACGAUGAGUGCUAGGUGUUGGAGGGUUUCCGCCCUUCAGUGCCGGAGCUAACGCAUUAAGCACUCCGCCUGGGGAGUACGACCGCAAGGUUGAAACUCAAAGGAAUUGACGGGGGCCCGCACAAGCGGUGGAGCAUGUGGUUUAAUUCGAAGCUACGCGAAGAACCUUACCAGGUCUUGACAUCUUGCGCCAACCCUAGAGAUAGGGCGUUUCCUUCGGGAACGCAAUGACAGGUGGUGCAUGGUCGUCGUCAGCUCGUGUCGUGAGAUGUUGGGUUAAGUCCCGCAACGAGCGCAACCCUUGUUACUAGUUGCCAGCAUUAAGUUGGGCACUCUAGUGAGACUGCCGGUGACAAACCGGAGGAAGGUGGGGACGACGUCAGAUCAUCAUGCCCCUUAUGACCUGGGCUACACACGUGCUACAAUGGACGGUACAACGAGUCGCGAACUCGCGAGGGCAAGCAAAUCUCUUAAAACCGUUCUCAGUUCGGACUGCAGGCUGCAACUCGCCUGCACGAAGUCGGAAUCGCUAGUAAUCGCGGAUCAGCAUGCCGCGGUGAAUACGUUCCCGGGCCUUGUACACACCGCCCGUCACACCAUGAGAGUUUG
This 1357-nucleotide ribosomal RNA is filed under the name Limosilactobacillus fermentum. RNAcentral's name for it is "bacterial SSU rRNA". It matches the Rfam family "Bacterial small subunit ribosomal RNA", at positions 67 to 1414 of the family's 1533-position model. Lineage: Bacteria; Bacillati; Bacillota; Bacilli; Lactobacillales; Lactobacillaceae. The record is from RNAcentral.